This is a non-coding RNA of Rhodotorula sp. CCFEE 5036, 90 nucleotides long. The record is from the annotation of a GenBank genome assembly. NCBI's taxonomy places the organism in Eukaryota, Fungi, Basidiomycota, Microbotryomycetes, Sporidiobolales, Sporidiobolaceae.
GGAGCAAUCGCCUAGUGGUUAUGGCGGAGAUUUACUACGCUAGUCUGUCUCUGGGCUACGCCCUCGGGAGUUCGAAUCUCCCUUGCUCCU